Molecule: ribosomal RNA, 490 nt
Filed under: uncultured bacterium
Lineage: Bacteria
Description: bacterial SSU rRNA
Rfam family: Bacterial small subunit ribosomal RNA
Source: RNAcentral
AUUGAACGCUGGCGGCAGGCUUAACACAUGCAAGUCGAACGGUAACAUAAAGAAGCUUGCUUCUUUGAUGACGAGUGGCGGACGGGUGAGUAAUGCUUGGGAAUCUAGCUUAUGGAGGGGGAUAACUACGGGAAACUGUAGCUAAUACCGCGUAGUACCGAGAGAUGAAAGUGUGGGACCUUCGGGCCACAUGCCAUAGGAUGAGCCCAAGUGGGAUUAGGUAGUUGGUGAGGUAAAGGCUCACCAAGCCGACGAUCUCUAGCUGGUCUGAGAGGAUGACCAGCCACACUGGGACUGAGACACGGCCCAGACUCCUACGGGAGGCAGCAGUGGGGAAUAUUGCGCAAUGGGGGCAACCCUGACGCAGCCAUGCCGCGUGAAUGAAGAAGGCCUUCGGGUUGUAAAGUUCUUUCGGUAGCGAGGAAGGCAUUUAGUUUAAUAAACUAGGUGAUUGACGUUAACUACAGAAGAAGCACCGGCUAACUCCGUG